GAUGAACGCUGGCGGCGUGCCUAAUACAUGCAAGUCGAGCGAACGGACGAGAAGCUUGCUUCUCUGAUGUUAGCGGCGGACGGGUGAGUAACACGUGGAUAACCUACCUAUAAGACUGGGAUAACUUCGGGAAACCGGAGCUAAUACCGGAUAAUAUUUUGAACCGCAUGGUUCAAAAGUGAAAGACGGUCUUGCUGUCACUUAUGGAUGGAUCCGCGCUGCAUUAGCUAGUUGGUAAGGUAACGGCUUACCAAGGCAACGAUGCAUAGCCGACCUGAGAGGGUGAUCGGCCACACUGGAACUGAGACACGGUCCAGACUCCUACGGGAGGCAGCAGUAGGGAAUCUUCCGCAAUGGGCGAAAGCCUGACGGAGCAACGCCGCGUGAGUGAUGAAGGUCUUCGGAUCGUAAAACUCUGUUAUUAGGGAAGAACAUAUGUGUAAGUAACUGUGCACAUCUUGACGGUACCUAAUCAGAAAGCCACGGCUAACUACGUG
This 497-nucleotide ribosomal RNA is filed under the name uncultured bacterium. RNAcentral describes it as "partial 16S ribosomal RNA". It matches the Rfam family "Bacterial small subunit ribosomal RNA", at positions 28 to 507 of the family's 1533-position model. The record is from RNAcentral.